Long non-coding RNA from Pygoscelis adeliae (Adelie penguin), 737 nucleotides. RefSeq lists it as uncharacterized. The transcript has 2 exons. The record is from RefSeq and is a predicted model, not a curated record. Lineage: Eukaryota; Metazoa; Chordata; Aves; Sphenisciformes; Spheniscidae.
UCUGCUGCUCUGCCUUCAAAGCCAAAUUAGGAAAUGAAGUGCUGCACAUUAGCUUGUUUAGCUGGUUAAAUACCGUAAAUAAAUACAUACAGUGCAAUGAAAACUAAUGAGUUUUCUUUAAGGCAUUUUCUAAAUAGCUGGCUUCAUAAAAAAAAUUUAAAAAUGUUCCUGCUGUGAACUCAUAUCCUGAAGGAUUUGUCGUUUUGCUGCAACAAAAAUUGACCCUGGCUGAAAUCUGAACUCUGGAUUUCACCUGGAGACCAGGAUGUUGCAAGUCAUGGAGGAUGAUGCAGCAAACAGAGGAGUGAAGGCUCCCAGCACUUUUCAGAGAGGCCAGCAAUAUCUUGCAACUUCAAGAUGAAAAUGGUGACCAGCUCUGAGAAAUACAUAAGAGAUUCAGGCAGUCCUCAUCCAAAAGGACCAUUUAAAAAUAGACAAAUUAUGACUCUCUCAAAAAGAAAUGUAUGCAUUGCAUAAAUCAAAGUUCUCACACCCACCACCGAAGUUUAAUCACUUAAUAUGCUGGUUCUUUCAACAUGCUCUGAAACUUUGUAUACAAUAAUACAAACAAUGGGGUUACGAAGCAAUAGCAAUUUAUUCUGCUGUACAAACGGAUGUUGCAUUAUAAUCCCUAAAGCAACACAGAGGCUGUUUGCAGAUGUUACUACAAUUUGGCGUUUAUUUUAAUUGCUCUACAGUGUAGCGCAUGUGAAAUAAAGUCAUGGGAUGACCUACAC